CGCACGGCUGAACCGAAAAAAGGUUAAAUUUGACGCACCGACGAACGAAUCGUUCGUUGCAAUGUGAGAUGGCGCGGACACAUGGUUAUAAGAGAACAGAAGAGGACCCAUGUAUUUGAUAAUCCGUCGUAACCGUUGGACGGACGCAAUGUCACAUGCCGCGAGGAGAUCUUCGUGGAGUGGUGAACUAUGUUCGAAUUACAUUAC
RNAcentral lists this long non-coding RNA (207 nucleotides) under Neodiprion pinetum (white pine sawfly). RNAcentral's name for it is "uncharacterized LOC124218454". The record is from RNAcentral. Lineage: Eukaryota; Metazoa; Arthropoda; Insecta; Hymenoptera; Diprionidae.